AUGGAGCUGGGGGCGGCCGGGAUGCGGCGGUCGGCGUCGCACAACUCGCUGUCCGGGUCCGAUGACUUCGACCUCACACACCUGCUCAACAAGCCGCGGAUCAACGUCGAGCGCCAGCGCUCCUUCGAUGACCGUUCGCUCAGCGACGUCUCCUACUCCGGUGGCCACGCCAGAGGAGGCGGAGGCUUCGACGGCAUGUACUCCCCCGGCGGCGGUCUACGCUCUCUGGUCGGCACGCCGGCCUCCUCGGCGCUCCACUCUUUCGAGCCCCACCCCAUAGUGGGCGACGCCUGGGAGGCCCUCCGCCGCUCCCUCGUCUUUUUCCGCGGCCAGCCGCUUGGUACCAUCGCCGCUUUCGACCAUGCAUCCGAGGAAGUCCUAAACUAUGAUCAGGGUUGGGAGAAGAAGGUUGAUCGGUUUAAGCUUGGCGAGGGGGCCAUGCCUGCAAGCUUUAAAGUGCUACAUGACGAUAAGAAGGGUGUUGAUACCCUGCACGCGGAUUUUGGUGAGAGCGCAAUUGGGCGGGUUGCUCCAGUGGAUUCGGGCUUCUGGUGGAUCAUACUAUUGCGGGCCUACACAAAGUCCACCGGGGAUUUGACUCUGGCAGAGAGGCCGGAAUGCCAGAAGGCGAUGAGGCUCAUUCUGAGCCUGUGCUUGUCUGAGGGAUUUGAUACCUUCCCGACAUUGUUAUGCGCUGAUGGUUGCUGCAUGAUAGAUCGUAGGAUGGGUGUGUAUGGCUACCCCAUUGAAAUUCAAUCCCUUUUCUUCAUGGCACUAAGGUGUGCUCUUCUAAUGCUUAAACAUGACGCUGAAGGGAAAGAUUUUGUGGAGCGGAUUGCAACUCGUCUUCAUGCUUUAAGUUAUCACAUGCGGAGUUAUUUUUGGCUAGAUUUCCAGCAGCUAAAUGAUAUUUAUCGUUACAAGACGGAAGAAUAUUCUCAUACAGCUGUCAACAAAUUUAAUGUUAUUCCAGAUUCUAUUCCGGACUGGCUAUUUGAUUUCAUGCCUUGCGAGGGUGGUUUUUUUGUUGGUAAUGUCAGUCCUGCAAGGAUGGACUUCCGUUGGUUUGCACUUGGAAACAUGAUUGCCAUAGUAUCAUCUCUUGCUACACCUGAGCAAUCCAUGGCCAUAAUGGAUCUCAUUGAGGAGCGCUGGGAAGAGUUAAUUGGUGAGAUGCCUCUGAAGAUAUGCUAUCCUGCUAUUGAGAACCAUGAAUGGCGGAUCGUGACAGGAUGUGAUCCAAAAAAUACGAGAUGGAGUUACCACAAUGGAGGAUCUUGGCCAGUACUUCUCUGGCUGCUCACGGCAGCAAGCAUCAAAACUGGACAGCCGCAAAUUGCAAGAAGAGCAAUUGACCUAGCUGAGAGGAGGCUGUUGAAGGAUGGCUGGCCUGAGUAUUACGAUGGUAAGCUUGGAAAAUAUGUUGGCAAGCAGGCAAGGAAAUUUCAGACUUGGUCCAUUGCCGGGUAUUUGGUCGCCAAGAUGCUGCUGGAGGAUCCUUCGCAUCUUGGUAUGAUAGCCUUGGAAGAGGACAAGGCAAUGAAGCCAGUUUUGAGAAGGUCCGCCUCAUGGACAAACUGA
RNAcentral lists this ribosomal RNA (1581 nucleotides) under Triticum aestivum (bread wheat). RNAcentral's name for it is "partial small subunit ribosomal RNA". The record is from RNAcentral. Lineage: Eukaryota; Viridiplantae; Streptophyta; Magnoliopsida; Poales; Poaceae.